This 74-nucleotide transfer RNA is filed under the name Deltaproteobacteria bacterium. RNAcentral describes it as "tRNA-Arg". It matches the Rfam family "tRNA". From Rfam's summary of the family: Transfer RNA (tRNA) molecules are approximately 80 nucleotides in length. Their secondary structure includes four short double-helical elements and three loops (D, anti-codon, and T loops). Further hydrogen bonds mediate the characteristic L-shaped molecular structure. tRNAs have two regions of fundamental functional importance: the anti-codon, which is responsible for specific mRNA codon recognition, and the 3' end, to which the tRNAs corresponding amino acid is attached (by aminoacyl-tRNA synthetases). tRNAs cope with the degeneracy of the genetic code in two manners: having more than one tRNA (with a specific anti-codon) for a particular amino acid; and 'wobble' base-pairing, i.e. permitting non-standard base-pairing at the 3rd anti-codon position. The record is from RNAcentral. Lineage: Bacteria; Pseudomonadati; Myxococcota; Myxococcia.
GCGCCCGUAGCUCAGCUGGAUAGAGCGACGGCCUUCUAAGCCGUUGGUCGGCAGUUCGAAUCUGCCCGGGCGUG